UCAAGUGAACACAACUACUCUACAAUACUGUCCUCGUCAGAACACACCAUCAGUGACAUUAGAACAUUUCAAGUGUUCAUACUUCUACAUUAAGCAAAAGAUGAACAUUUCAUUGCUGCUAUGUGGAUGCAUCACCGUAGCUUUGCUAUAUCCGGCGGAAGGAGGCCAUAGUUGCCCUGGAUCAUGCCAGAGGCCACAAAAGCCAAGGUGCAGAGACUUCAAACCAGGAGAAAAACAUAUCAAUCCACGCUACUUCCCUAAAAACGGAAAUUGUGUUGCAGUUUCUUCAGAACACUGCCAAGGAAAAUUUUACACUACGAAGAACGAUUGCAUGAACUGCUGUAAAUCUUAUUUGCAAUAAACUUUACCAGAACCGUA
Molecule: long non-coding RNA, 378 nt
Organism: Rhipicephalus microplus (southern cattle tick)
Lineage: Eukaryota; Metazoa; Arthropoda; Arachnida; Ixodida; Ixodidae
Source: RefSeq, a predicted model, not a curated record